UUGAUUGGGCCAUACAUAAACAGAUCAGACCACGUCAUCCCCACGUGUCUCUUCUUUGAGACUUUCUUGCCUCGAUUCACCUGCAUAUCCAAAGAAUAUUGAAAAGGGGAGAGACAUGGAGAUGCCUGAGCGGUUACUACUUCGCCGAUAUCGGUGAACGGCGUCUUUUACUCCUGAUUCCAAGUCAUCCGGUAUCUCGUAGCUCAUCUCCAUUGUAGAUCGUCUUCAUAGAAACUUUCGCCGAUCGACUCUAAUGUAUGUUGAUUUUGAUAGAUUCGCCUUUAGGGUGUUGCUGCGCAACCAAAACCGACGCCAAUCAGGUGUAAUCAUAUCGGUUUCUAUCAAUAAUAGGUUUACCAGAUUGUAUCUGACUUAAUUUGAUUUGUGAUUGUUUUGGUAGAUUAGACGGUGGAUGAACGGGUUGGAUUCCGUUAGGGGAUAAUAAGUGACGGUGUGUUUGUGGAGGAUUCGAUGUUGUGUUGAACGGUGUACCAUGUUCAUAAUUCGGGGAUGUCUCUACUCAGCAAGAUAUAGAUGUGCCAUUUUGGGGGAAAAUUAGAUGGAUGUAGAUAUUGACGACUAUGAAAAUAAACAAGCCGAGUGGUCCAUUUCUAUAGGCAUUAUACUGUUGGUAACCUUUUUUAGGAGCGCCACAAAGGGCCAUGGAUGAAUACCAGGCACAAAUCGCAACUUUGGUGAAAGAAGACGAGUAUUCGAAGAUUAGCUGUCGACUUUUACAUAUAUUUCAUAUAGUUUAUAAACUUCAUAUAAAAUCAUAUUUUUAUUGACCGAUGGGGGUAAUUUUUUUUUUUUGUUAUAAAUGAUAUGAGUCUACUUCAUUUAAGUUUUAAACGUAAAUAAAGAAUAUAAAUUUUAUUAUGGUCAAAGUUGUGUUAUACAAUAUGCUAUAUUUGUUGGAUGAAAUGUGGCAGGGAUGAUAUCGGUAUGGUAUUGAUGUCGAACCUCAAAAAAUCAUUUUGGGAUACCAUUGUUAGUCACAACACUUUCUUUAAAACACUCAAGAUAAAUGUUAUAAGACUAAGAUUCUUUUCUAUGGUUCCGCAGAUUCGUACUUCUUUUUAUAAAAGGGAGGACGAGGAACCAAUUGACGAAAAAAAUUAGUUUGAAGAAUUAUGGAAGCCCAGGUGUGUUAGAGCUUGGCAUGAGUCUCAGAGGAUAAACAUGAGAAAGGUAAACCGAUCAAAAGAUUUGGAGUUGCUGAUUCUGUUUAAAGAAGUGAUGAAAAUGGAUCUUUUAUCACACUUAUUGUGUCCAAUUAAAGAACUGGAAAUUGAUCAUCACAGAUAACAAACAUUUCAAAACACACUUAUUAUGCAUUACCUGCGGAUGAUUAAACUCCCCCAUCCAAGAAAGACAAGAACCAUGGCAGCAGCUAGAACAUCAAACACCCAUUUAUCAACAAGAACCAGGAACCAACAUUUUUCUAACAACUGAUGUAUUGUGAAUGCAAAUAUAACCAGGAACCAACAUUUUUCUAACAACUGAUGUAUUGUGAAUGCAAAUAUAAAACCCCCAUCCCGCUGCCAAGACAAAAAUACCAAACGCUGGUGCAACACACGAUAAGCAGAUCUCCGUGUCCAAGGUUUUGGAAGAUAUAAAAGUUUUGGCAUUUAUGUGCGUCAAAAGCCAAUCAAAGGCUACUGCUCUCUUUGGGAUAUUUGGUGUAGGUUUAGCUUGGAAUGUCUAAAGUGAUAGGGUGCGAUGUAUUUGUUGUUUUCAGGUUUUGUGGUUGUUGGCUUCUCAAGUUUUGAUGCUACUGUGGUAGUUUUCUUUUUUGGUGGAUGUAAUAGUUAGCUUCCUACUAACUCUU
This 1831-nucleotide long non-coding RNA is filed under the name Helianthus annuus (common sunflower). Lineage: Eukaryota; Viridiplantae; Streptophyta; Magnoliopsida; Asterales; Asteraceae. The record is from RNAcentral.